Macaca mulatta (Rhesus monkey) is the source of this 410-nucleotide non-coding RNA. NCBI's taxonomy places the organism in Eukaryota, Metazoa, Chordata, Mammalia, Primates, Cercopithecidae. The record is from RefSeq and is a predicted model, not a curated record.
GAUUACAGGUGUGAGCCACCAUGCCCAGUGGUGAAAAAGAAGGAAUGGAAAUAAUAAAAGAAGGAACCUUGGAACAUGAGGAAGGAUGAAUGAACAUUCAAGCAAAAAUAUGGCAUACUAGGUUGGAGGUGGUCUGCUACAGUCAGUCUGAAAAUGAGUUGGUCUCUACAAUCUCAGGAGACAAGCCCAAAUCCUUCCGAGAACAUCUCUCAUUUGUGAUGCCAACAAGAGCUUACAACCACAACUGCUCAGAAUGGAGAAGCCAGAAGGAUAGAGGCUGCUCCACCUCUGAAUGCCCACAUCACCUCUGUCUGGAAGAACCAGGUGUUCUAAGCUUAGAGAUGAGGGAAAGGAGACUUACUGGGCUAAAAAACAGGACCAGAAUAAACUUGACACAAGUCAGUCACAGA